RNAcentral lists this ribosomal RNA (515 nucleotides) under uncultured bacterium. Its description in RNAcentral is "bacterial SSU rRNA". It matches the Rfam family "Bacterial small subunit ribosomal RNA", at positions 29 to 504 of the family's 1533-position model. The record is from RNAcentral.
ACGAACGCUGGCGGCGUGCCUAAUACAUGCAAGUCGAGCGAGCUUGCCUAGAUGAUUUUAGUGCUUGCACUAAAUGAAACUAGAUACAAGCGAGCGGCGGACGGGUGAGUAACACGUGGGUAACCUGCCCAAGAGACUGGGAUAACACCUGGAAACAGAUGCUAAUACCGGAUAACAACACUAGACGCAUGUCUAGAGUUUGAAAGAUGGUUCUGCUAUCACUCUUGGAUGGACCUGCGGUGCAUUAGCUAGUUGGUAAGGUAACGGCUUACCAAGGCAAUGAUGCAUAGCCGAGUUGAGAGACUGAUCGGCCACAUUGGGACUGAGACACGGCCCAAACUCCUACGGGAGGCAGCAGUAGGGAAUCUUCCACAAUGGACGAAAGUCUGAUGGAGCAACGCCGCGUGAGUGAAGAAGGGUUUCGGCUCGUAAAGCUCUGUUGGUAGUGAAGAAAGAUAGAGGUAGUAACUGGCCUUUAUUUGACGGUAAUUACUUAGAUAGUCACGGCUAACUAC